UGUGAGGACAAUAGCAGCUCGCGCUGGAAGCUGUUAGGGUUUCGGCGUUUGGGGAAAGUUUUGGGCUAGGUUGGGCUGGAUUGGGUUUUGGGCUAGGCUAGUGUUUGGGUAGUUUAGGUUAAAACGGGUUGGGCCUAUGUAUUUGGACUUUAUUUAUUUUUAUUUGGUUUUUUAAUUUUUAUUUAUUUAAUCCUAAUGGGCCUGGGCUAAAAAUUGGGUAUUACAGCUGCCCCUCUUUGCUCGUUGUCGUGUAACGGGAACGGAGCAAAGACUUUAGAAAUGACCAACUUUUGCCCAGUAGCACUGGAUCUUGGUGCUCUUCUUCUUCGAGUUGCCUCAU
This 340-nucleotide long non-coding RNA is filed under the name Gossypium raimondii (Peruvian cotton). RNAcentral describes it as "long non-coding RNA (GRAI_LNC005807)". The record is from RNAcentral. Lineage: Eukaryota; Viridiplantae; Streptophyta; Magnoliopsida; Malvales; Malvaceae.